Molecule: ribosomal RNA, 159 nt
Filed under: Gomphidius nigricans
Lineage: Eukaryota; Fungi; Basidiomycota; Agaricomycetes; Boletales; Gomphidiaceae
Description: 5.8S ribosomal RNA
Rfam family: 5.8S ribosomal RNA
About the family: 5.8S ribosomal RNA (5.8S rRNA) is a component of the large subunit of the eukaryotic ribosome. It is transcribed by RNA polymerase I as part of the 45S precursor that also contains 18S and 28S rRNA.
Source: RNAcentral
CAACUUUCAGCAAUGGAUCUCUUGGCUCUCGCAUCGAUGAAGAACGCAGCGAAUUGCGAUAUGUAAUGUGAAUUGCAGAUCUACAGUGAAUCAUCGAAUCUUUGAACGCACAUUGCGCUCCUCGGUGUUCCGAGGAGCAUGCCUGUUUGAGUGUCAUUA